CCCUUCGGGGUGAUUGUUGUGGAUCGAGCGGCGGACGGGUGAGUAACACGUGGGCAACCUACCCAUGAGAUCGGGAUAACUCCGGGAAACCGGAGCUAAUACCGAAUAACCCAGUGAACUGCAUGGUUCACUGGUAAAAGGCGGUUUCGGCCGUCACUCAUGGAUGGGCCCGCGGCGCAUUAGCUAGUUGGUAAGGUAACGGCUUACCAAGGCGACGAUGCGUAGCCGACCUGAGAGGGUGAUCGGCCACACUGGGACUGAGACACGGCCCAGACUCCUACGGGAGGCAGCAGUAGGGAAUCUUCCGCAAUGGACGAAAGUCUGACGGAGCAACGCCGCGUGAACGAUGAAGGUCUUCGGAUCGUAAAGUUCUGUUGUUAGGGAAGAACAAGUGCCAGAGGAAAUGCUGGUACCUUGACGGUACCUAACCAGAAAGCCACGGCUAACUACGUGCCAGCAGCCGCGGUAAUACGUAGGUGGCAAGCGUUGUCCGGAAUUAUUGGGCGUAAAGCGCGCGCAGGCGGUUUCUUAAGUCUGAUGUGAAAGCCCACAGCUCAACUGUGGAGGGCCAUUGGAAACUGGGGAACUUGAGUACAGAAGAGGAGAGUGGAAUUCCACGUGUAGCGGUGAAAUGCGUAGAUAUGUGGAGGAACACCAGUGGCGAAGGCGACUCUCUGGUCUGUAACUGACGCUGAGGCGCGAAAGCGUGGGUAGCAAACAGGAUUAGAUACCCUGGUAGUCCACGCCGUAAACGUUGAGUGCUAGGUGUUAAGGGGGUUUCCGCCCCUUAGUGCUGAAGUUAACGCAUUAAGCACUCCGCCUGGGGAGUACGGCCGCAAGGCUGAAACUCAAAAGAAUUGACGGGGGCCCGCACAAGCGGUGGAGCAUGUGGUUUAAUU
RNAcentral lists this ribosomal RNA (899 nucleotides) under Pontibacillus chungwhensis. RNAcentral describes it as "bacterial SSU rRNA". It matches the Rfam family "Bacterial small subunit ribosomal RNA", at positions 62 to 951 of the family's 1533-position model. The record is from RNAcentral. Lineage: Bacteria; Bacillati; Bacillota; Bacilli; Caryophanales; Bacillaceae.